AACUGUUUGUUCUUCGGAAAUAGGGUCUUGGAUGAUCUCGAAGAAGAAUCAGUAGUUCUUGGAAUAGGUUGUAGGAUGAUUCUCUUUUUAUUUUAGUAUCACAUACAUUGGAGUACACGCCAAAUUUCAACAAUGAGUAAAGUUGGAAAAAUUCAAAUUUAAAUCAAGGAUUUCUUCCUCAAAAUAACGUUAAAACCUCAAACGAUGGAUGAAAAUGUGCUUUAGGAGCUGAACUACAAUAAUUGAUACAUUUGGAAGUAAACAAAACGGUUUAAGAUAAGAUUUUCACCAACAAAAAAUCUCUCUGUCACAAAUUCUAGGUUAUGUUCUCUCGGUGAACUAAGAGAAUGUUAAAAUUAUUACAAUACAUACAAUAUAGUUUCCAACAAAAAAAUCAAGGUUGAAAUGAAAAUUCCAAUAAUCCACAACAAAAAGGCGCUCUCUAAAUCCUGCAAAUUGAUACUUUUAACAUCAUCAUAAUUUUCUCGAUUUUUCAGAUUAUUAAAAAAACGCUUCAUAUCGUUAAUCCACUUCUCUUCCAACCCGCUUUGAUGAACGACAUACAUAUCGAAACUAAAUUGAUCCGCAAUCGGAUGACACCGCUUAAACAUCAAAUAAUACACAACAACAUUAAUCUUGAUCGAAUCGUACAAGCUCUCAUCGUAAAGCAACAUUAUAUUUUGGUGAGCAUAAACGAUAUGGUUCUUCUCCUUCAUAAAUUCGUCUAUAAACGAACGGAUAUCCCCCGAUUUUUUGCGAUAACCUUUCAUUUUUAAACGUUGAUUUCUUUUUAAGAUAAGCCCGGCGAAAUAAUCGUUUAAAACGAACGGAAAAUCCGAAUCGAAAGCUUCGUUUAAAGUGGUGAUUCGUUUCGAGUAAAUCGGUUUUGUUAAGGUGCUAAAUAAAUAGGAUUGAAUUAAAGAGGAAAUAAUUAACGAGUAUAAAAAGGAAGAAAUAAAAAUAAUUUUAAGAUGAUUUUUGUUAAAAUCGAUUUUGAUUGAAAUGAAAAGUGUU
Non-coding RNA from Onthophagus taurus, 1014 nucleotides. Lineage: Eukaryota; Metazoa; Arthropoda; Insecta; Coleoptera; Scarabaeidae. The record is from RefSeq and is a predicted model, not a curated record.